GGCUCCGUAGCUCAACUGGCGAGAGCUGCCGGCUCUUAACCGGCACGGUGCAGGUUCGGCUCCUGCCGGGGCCA
Molecule: transfer RNA, 74 nt
Filed under: Chloroflexota bacterium
Lineage: Bacteria; Bacillati; Chloroflexota
Description: Chloroflexi bacterium (soil metagenome) tRNA-Lys
Rfam family: tRNA
About the family: Transfer RNA (tRNA) molecules are approximately 80 nucleotides in length. Their secondary structure includes four short double-helical elements and three loops (D, anti-codon, and T loops).
Source: RNAcentral